CAGAGCUCCAUUGCCAUGGCAGAUAAAGAUCCAGAGAGGAAACAUCGGGGCUGUACCCGUGGACUCAAGGACUCAGCUCUGCCCUGCGGUGGGCACGCAGAUGGACAUAGCCUCGACGGGUGGACGUGGUUGUGGGCGCGUGACAUGAGGAGCCAGAGACACGCAGAAUGAGGUUUCUCCUGAGCAGGAAGCGUGCCCGUGAGCAACCAGCUGAGAAGUCGACCCAUCACAUGUGAAAAUGAGAAAGUCCCGUCGAGGCCAGACCCCGCUGUCCUUGGAAAGGUGUUGAGUUGAUUUCUUCCAAGGGGUGAGGGAGCAAUUCAGGUUCCCUGCCCAGCGGGUGCUCUGCCUCCCUAGUUCCGGAGGCUGGACUUUCAAGACCUGCUGAGAGCCAUCUUCCUGGUUCAUCAAUGGACGUUCUCUCCAUCAGGACAGAGACAAGACAGUUCCUUCUUACCCGUGAGAGAUACAUGUAUUGUCCAUGACUCCGCAGGAAAUUGAUUUCCCCAACCCGAUGCAGAGAUGGGGAAGGGGGGAGCCAAAAGAAGGGUUUGCUGUCCAUCUUUGGCGCCAGAGGAGAAGUCAGCCCCCAGAAGCUAAGCACUGAGAAGUCCAGUCUUCCACAUCCAGGGGUUUCCAGAUUCCCACUCGUGUAAGAAAUGCAGCGUGAUGUCCCAGUUUUCGUGCUUUUCUUGAGAUGUGGUCCCCUUGGAGGAGCUUCCCCCGCCAGGAUGGAAUUUCAGAGCUUUCGGCUCGAGAAGAAGGGAAAUGCCCCGAACAGCCACCCCCCAGGCCCCUUGUGGCCGCUGAGAAGUUGGGGAGGAUGCAGCCAUAAAGGAGGAUGUGAAAAGUAGGCGCGAUCGCAAGGCACGAAUCUCGGAAUCUUCGUGUUUCAUCGGGAAGGCAGAGGAGGAAGGAAUCUGCGAGGUGCAGCCGCCUCUUCUGACCUCAGGAUGGACGGAGAGGGCGUGAAGGACCCGUCAGUGACCAGCUGUUGCACAGAGAGCCCAGGGGAAGGGGGUGCCCUGGCGGGCACAUGGGAACCGAUGCUGCGGCUCACGAGAAGUUGGAGGAACAAACUGCUUUGUCCCAGGAGAAGAGGAGCAGGAUGGAACAGAUGCCCGCUGUAAUCGUGGGCGGAACCGGAGGGACGGACGCAACGCUUGGCGCUUCCAAUUCUGACAGUGGCUGACCUCACGGGAGAUGGAUGGGGGAGGGUCCAGAUGUUUCGAUGAGGAAACGGAGGCCACUAAGUGUUGUGUAACGUCCCAAGGGGACCCAGCUCUGAAGCGGUGGAGUCAGAAUGGGUUGCUUAACAGCCACCCCCACCCUCGGCUCGGAAGACGUCCACACCCAGGGCCACACCCACAGCGUAUGGAAAUUGCCAGGCUGAGCUGAUUCGGAGCUGAAGCUGCUGCCCUGCGCCACCGCCACAGCAACGCGGCAUCCGAAACGGGUCUGUAAUCUACACCACAGCGCACGGCAACAUCAGAUCCUUAACCCACUGGGGGAAGCCAGGGAUCGAACCCACAUCCUCAGGGAUACUAGUUGGCUUCAUUCCCGCUGAGCCACGAUGGGAACGCCCCUUUAUCCCAGUUUGAAUUUAGGAAUCUGACCAGGGGCUCUUUUUGAGGUGAUUAUGGAGAGAUUAUGGGGAAAAUAGAAUAUUCCUGUUUUACCAAAUGUCAUCGAACCUUUACAGAAAGCUCCAUUAUAUGGCCAUGUAUACAUUGUAUGCAAUUAAAUACAAGGAGAUACAAUGGUAUAUAAAUACACACGUAUGCAUUCUUUAUACAUACACAUGGCUGUUUAUAACCGCUCUGGGAAUCCCUUUGUUUCCAUCCCUAUGUUGGUGGGAACAGGGUGGGGGGUGCUUUGGUGCUGCAGCUUUGUCGUGGCAGGUUGAAGAGUCAGACACACCAUCCAUCAUCGGGGGCUCCCUGGGGACUCCCCAGGGACUCCUGUGAUGGCUUCGCCGGUGGGCAACAAGAGAGAGCCAGGUCUAGCUUUGCAGGUGGAUGAGAGCCUCAAGCUCCCACUGGACUCGUGGGGUCCACGUCUCAGUCCCGUGGGUGGAACAUGUCUACAGGUACCUGUCAGGUUUGGGCAGUGGCCUGGGAGAAUGUUUACCAGGCUGGUCCUGGGCUGGUACCCACGGUGUGUGGUUGGGUGAGUCCAGGCUGGUCCUGCGAUGGCUGAGGACAUGCAGGCUGGUCCUGGGCUGGUACCCACGGUGUGUGGUUGGAUGAACGGAGCGUGGGGAGAAGAGGAGGAUGCUGGUGGGGUCUCCGUGGGUCCUCCGGUGCUCUGCAUCCUGCCCUGGGUCGCCCUGGGCAUCCCAAAGCUUUGUCUGGCAAGGACAGGUCCCUGUCUCCCACCAACAGCCCUUCUGGUCCCUCAGAGCCUCAGCUGCUGUGCCCCCGGCGGUGGGGGGGCGGGGAGGCGGAGGGACAGUUGCCACAAUUACACUUUUCCUAACAUUGCUUUACGACGCAUCCUCUGAACCCCCUUGACUUCCGAAGACCUCGUUAACAGAACCUCGGGCUCGAUGGACAGAUAAAGCGUUAAACCAGGCUGUGAUUCCCGCAUUCCUGCCUUUUUCCGCUUCUGAGAUGGGAACUCCGCCAAAGGAGAAACUAUUUCUCUGAGAACUGGAUUGGUUGAAAAGCAUGUGCAUGGAUGUCGUGCCAGUGGAAUCCCAGCACGGACUUUUCAUCCUUCCUCUCUCUUUUUUUCACCUUUUGGUUUGGCGUGACUUUUUCUUUUUUUUUUUCAGUCUUCUUAGUGCUGAAGGCACCUCCGAAAAGCACACACAGAAAAGAACUUAACAGGUUUUCUCUUCGUAAAGUAUUUCACGGUCUAACGUGUCAGUGUCUUCCAUUUGCAUGUGUGUGUUUCCACCAAGAAAAAUACAUCCUUCUGCCGGCACAUGAAGUUAAACUUUACAGUCAAAUAAUGGAGCACACCUCGCCCGAACGCCAGAGGCAUGAAGCAAACGGAUUCUUCUCUCCCUGGCAACCUUGGAAAUGUGCUCAGUUAUUUUUAUGGAUUCUUUGAGCCAACAUAAAAUGCAAGGGGUAUUCCAGCUGGGUAAUUAAAAUCCUAAUGUUCGUGAAGUUUGUGAAAUUCAUGCCUCAUCCCCCUCAGUUGUCUGUGAUCCAAGGAUCCCCCAGGCAUCUUUCUCUCCUCUCAACUGUUCUUUUUCCUUUUUUAAUUAUUUUUUUAGGGUCCCACCCUCAGCGUAUGGAGGCUCCCAGGUGAGGGGUCGAAUCGGAGCUGCAGCUGCAGGUCUACACCACAGCCACAGCCACACCGGAUCCAAGCCUCAUCUGCAAACCACACCACCGCUCACGGCAACACCGGACCCUUAACCCACGGAGCGAGGCCAGGGAUCCGACCUGCAUCGUCAUGGAUACUAGUGGGAUUCUUAACCCGCUGAGCGCUCCCCUCACCCCCGGGAAUUCCUUGUAGCCCUAAUAUAAACCCCCAUCAUGGAGCAGAAGCAAUAUCGGGAGGGCUUUCCUGGAAGAAGCCCAGACUUUGACCCCCGGGUGUGAUGUUUUAUUUCUCUGAAACUCCAAGACUUUUCAGUGGGUUGAGGGGACCCAAGGAUCCGCUCCAGGAUUACAGAAACGGUGAUGGAUGGAUUAACUGUUCCACGGUCGCCGUGGCUGUGGUGGAGGCCGGCAGCUCUCAUUCAACCCCUAGCCUGGGAACAUCCAUGUGCCACGGGUAUGGCCCUAAAAGGCACACACGCACACACACACAAAGACUGCCAUUGCAUAUGUACAUGGAGCGGAUGGCCGACAGGGACCUGCUGUCGAGCACAGAGAACUUGACCCAAUAUUCCGCGAUCAUCUCUGGGGAAAGAAUCUGAGAGAGAAUGCACGUGUGUACGUGUGUCUCUCCAUCCCUUUGUCGUCCAGCAGAAACCAUCACAGCCUCGCACGUUAACUCUACUUCAGUACAACGUCAAAAAACAGACGUAAGAAUACAAUAAAACACGGCCGUUGCAGCAGGUGGGAAACAGAAGAGCAGGCACCUGUGACCUUGGGGUAUACCCAGAAGGCCAUGGUGGAUCAAAGUUAUUUUCCUUUUCCAAGAAUCCAAAAAAGAAUAUGCACGUGUGUGAGUGUGUGUGCGCACGCAUGUGCUUUUAUGUGUAAAUGAACCACCUUGCUGUACACUUGACGCUAGCAGAGCACUGGAAAUCCAUUAUACUCAACUGGAGUAACCAGAAGGCGAUGGUGGAUCCAAUUAUUUUUCUUCUCCAAGAAUCUGAAAAGGCAUCCAUGUGCGGGGUACGUCGGUGUGUGUACAGGAAUCACUUUGCUGGACCCUCGAAAUGAACACGACACAGGACGUGAAUUAUACGCCAUUUGAAUACCCAGAACGCCACAGUGGGUCAAAGUUAUUUUCCUUUUCAAAGGAUCUGCAAAGAAGAAUGUGUGUGUCUGGGUGAAACUCCAAGCCCUCUCCAUGGGUUGAGCGGACCCGAGGGUGGCAGGAGGAUUACAGAAAGGGUGAUGGGUGAACUGUCACACUGGUGCUGAGGCUGUGGGGGAGGCUGGCCCCUGCAGCUCCUGUUAGACCCCUAGCCCGGGAACAUCCAUGUGCUGCAGGUGCAGCCCUGAAAU
Molecule: long non-coding RNA, 4637 nt
Filed under: Sus scrofa (pig)
Lineage: Eukaryota; Metazoa; Chordata; Mammalia; Artiodactyla; Suidae
Description: lncRNA (ENSSSCG00055011716.1)
Source: RNAcentral